Molecule: long non-coding RNA, 2964 nt
Organism: Leopardus geoffroyi (Geoffroy's cat)
Lineage: Eukaryota; Metazoa; Chordata; Mammalia; Carnivora; Felidae
Exons: 5
Source: RefSeq, a predicted model, not a curated record
UACACCAUUGUCUCUCCUAGUCCUCAGGCAUUUGAGCUGGAGUGAACCAUGUCUUCAGCUCUCCUAGGUUUCCAGCUUGCAGAUAGCAGAUAUGGUGGGACUACUCAGCCUCCAUAAUUUACAAACAGAAUUUUCCUCUCACCAAGGACAGUCACAUCAUUUAAGAUGAUAAUGUUACCACACUGUGCACCCAAGUGAGGAAAAAAGAGAAGACGUGUGCACGAGAGCCCUGAGAUCUGGAACAGUAGCCCUGCCCCAGACAUGUCACGCUGGCAUGAACAAGCAAGACCUAAAAGGCAAAAAAAGUUCUCACCACAGCUGUUCCAACAGGAGACGUAUCUUCUCUGGAACUAUGAACCCAGUGAUUGUACACAAAUAAGCUUUUGCCACCACCGUGCUCGGCUGAGGACAACAAUAGGUUGAUACGAAAUUAUUCGGCUCAUUAUUUCUGUAGCACACACACACACACACAAAAGAGAAAGAAAGAAACACCUCUGUUAUCUCCCACCCGAUCAUUUUCAAAGUAUAAACCCCCACGAAGAACGCGGCGCUGGCCACGCCCCAGCCCGGGCCCCCCCGGACGCACAGUUGGGCGUUACUGAAGACGGCGCCCAGCCAGUCCAGGAGCUCAGGGGCGCUGCAAGCCGCCCCCGGGGCUCCCCCCAGCUCGCCGCUCCGCAGCACCGGGCACUGCAGCUCGCUCGCCGUGCUCAGGGCUACUCGCGGCUGCCGCUCCUGAAUUCCGUAACUGGAAAAGUACGACAUCAUCCUUGAUUCUUCUGCACCUUAGAACACACCAUAAAAGGCCAUGUCAAAGACCAAGAGCAGUGGUCCUUGGGAAGUCAAUCCUAAAUCUACCUAUGGAUGUGGCAGCCUCACCUAUUCACGUUCAAGCCGGACACUAUCAGUAGAACCAUCUCUUUUCACUCACAGAUGCCGGAUAAACCAAUAAUUAACCUCACUGAUGCCUCAACUUCCACAUCUGCGGAAAGGCGCCCCAUGCGGCUGACAUUUUUACGAAACAAAAGCCAAAGUUACCCCCCCCCCCCCGAAGCUCUUAAAUUGUGCUUGCAAACAGGGACACCACGACUCAUUUCACUCUAAACCUGACAACCUCCUAGCGCGCUCCAGCUGGAGACCACAGAAGGUAACAGGCAAAGUGGAAACUUUUCUCAGAGAUAAAACUAGUUCCUCUAAACAGUUUAGAAAAGCAUGUGCUUCCUGGGUCUGGACUCAGCAAGAUGCUCCCAUGAGGUGGGUGAAAGAAUCAAGAGGUGGGGAGGGGCGCGAGGCCCCAAUUUGUAGCCAGUCCGCGGCUCCACGUGGCAUACGUCACAGCCUCUCAACUCCAGAGGCCCGUGCCUGACUUUUGCCUCCGAACGGGGGCGGGGCCAAAGUAGCCAGCGACGCUUUGGAAUCGGCCCGGAGCAAAUCGCCCAGCCCCUCCUUGCGAGGACAGGACACUGCCCCUACUCCCGGCGCAUCCUGGGAGUUGUAGUCCUGCAGCUCUGCAAGCUACCAGCUCGGAGUAGUAUAGAGACUACAGCUCCCAAAGUGCCUAGCGCGGGGCCCCGCCCCUCUUGCGCUGAGGGCGGGCUCCUCACUGAACGCGACUUUCCCCACAUCUCUCCAGCUCCCGGAGACUGGGUGCUUCCUGAGUGGCCCACGACGGCCAGACUCACCCUGUAAUUAUGGUAGUGCGUCUCCACAAGAUGCCGGUGGCGCGACUUGUCAUGGCCGAAGUUGGAUUUCUCGCAGACCAGCAAGUGUCGGGGAACCUCUCGCAGCCUCCGCAGUGUGGCCAUGCUUUCUCCGGCACAAGCCCUGAGCGAGGUCGGGAAGCCCAGUCCCUCUGCUUCGCUCCGCCCCUCCGCCUGGCCCCGCGGGCAUGCGCAUUGCAGCUGCGCAGUGCCCGUUGAAGCUGCUCGGGCUUGGUGACCGGUUAGGGUUGAGGGCGGGCCUGGGUUUCUUCGGAACCUUAGGUUCCUGAACCUUGGGUACCUGAAACCGCAAAUUCAUUGCCUACAGGGGAAAUACCUGGUACCUGGAAACCUGGAACUUGCUUUUUCAAACCCACCUUUCUCGCCAAGACCUCCGUCCCUCCCUGCUGCUGUCUUGCCGUAUAUCCUCCCUCUGUUCCUUCACAAAUGGUUUAGGAGUUUUGUGCAGGAAGAUAAUACACAAUUUCUGUUUUCGGCCCUGCAAUACGACUCCGUCGGAACCACUUUAAGAUCCCUUUUUAAAAAUCCCACCUGAACGGCUUUAAAAAUUUUGUUACUAUUGUUACAAUGUGAGAAUUCGUUUUUCCAUAAUUUUUCUGAUCAAGUACUAUACGUUUCUCAAGCUGGAGUAUGCACAGCCCCAAUUCUGUGCUGAGAGGAUGCAAAACAGCAGACUAUCUGUGGUACAACUGUCUGGAGCAUCAAUUUUACUGUAAGAUUUGGAACAACCGAAGUUACGUAAUUUACAAGGUGGGAGCAGCAGGGAAGGUGGUGCUGGGAACUGUAACUAUUGAAGACACCAGUAAUAAAUCAGAGGACUCCAUCCUGCCAAGCCUAAACUUGACCUCACAGUCUUUAUCAGCACAGGGCUCCAGGCAGCUGCCACGAAUGGACAGGUUUUGGGGUACAAGAUCAAAACUACCCUAUGAUGGCAGGCAGCCUGGGAACUGGAUCCAGCAGGUACAGUGGAAAAAAUCAGCGGCCCCCAAGAAUAUAUGAUGCACUCCAAGUGAGGACUUGAAUCCCUGGAGUUUUGGGAAGGGCUCAGAGCCAGACUGCUUCAUGUCCUCUCCCUCUGACUGGUUGGGAAUCGAUGGAACAUGCAAACAUAUUAACACUGGCAGCUGUGUGGACUGUGUCAACACAUGGAAGUGCACAAAUGGAGUAUUUUAAAACAGAACACAAUGUUAUAUGUCAAUUGUAUCUCAAAUCUGGGGGAGAAAAGCAGAACCCAAAACAGUCA